GCCCCCAUAGCUCAGGUGGAUAGAGCGACGGAUUCCUAAUCCGCAGGCCGCGUGUUCGAGUCGCGCUGGGGGCACCA
Molecule: transfer RNA, 77 nt
Filed under: Pseudomonadota bacterium
Lineage: Bacteria; Pseudomonadati; Pseudomonadota
Also listed under: 3 other names
Description: tRNA-Arg
Rfam family: tRNA
About the family: Transfer RNA (tRNA) molecules are approximately 80 nucleotides in length. Their secondary structure includes four short double-helical elements and three loops (D, anti-codon, and T loops).
Source: RNAcentral